UCUGAUACCGAGAAUGACAAUGGUUGA
This 27-nucleotide non-coding RNA is filed under the name Drosophila melanogaster (fruit fly). Lineage: Eukaryota; Metazoa; Arthropoda; Insecta; Diptera; Drosophilidae. The record is from RNAcentral.